Molecule: long non-coding RNA, 362 nt
Organism: Folsomia candida
Lineage: Eukaryota; Metazoa; Arthropoda; Collembola; Entomobryomorpha; Isotomidae
Exons: 3
Source: RefSeq, a predicted model, not a curated record
AUUACAACGUUUGGUCACUGACUGCAAUGAAAAAACCUUUGUCGACACAUCCACGGGGAAUAUUUUAAUAAAAUCAUUUGUUAAUAAAUUAAUUGAGCUAAAAGGGAAUUCACCGUCAACAGCUGACCAGAAAUUACUUGCUCAUACUGUAAUUUCAAUCUUACCUUGCUGGAAGUAUGCAGCGUCAGAAAACGGAAUUGAUAUACUUUAUGAUGAGGGUAACCGUUCCGGACUUAUCCAAGCUCGGCUAAGAACAAUACAUCGCCAUCUAAAUGAAACGAAGCAGCCAAAAUCAAAACGCGUUUGCAAAAAUCAAAACGCUGUAUCAAAUUCGGAUGUAGAAGAAUCCUUUGUAGAUAACG